UAACUAUGAUGGGGAUAAGAGUUAAUUAAAUCUUGUUAUCUUUCCUAAUACUCAUAGAAUGACUCAUUUUCAUUUUGUUUAAAAAUAGUGAUUUUCCUUCUAAAAGUCG
Small nucleolar RNA from Vitis vinifera (wine grape), 109 nucleotides. It matches the Rfam family "Plant small nucleolar RNA R71". Rfam says of the family: R71 is a member of the C/D box family of snoRNAs containing the C (UGAUGA) and D (CUGA) box motifs. Multiple nearly identical copies of this snoRNA have been identified in Arabidopsis, and it is thought to function as a 2'-O-ribose methylation guide for 18S ribosomal RNA. Lineage: Eukaryota; Viridiplantae; Streptophyta; Magnoliopsida; Vitales; Vitaceae. The record is from Rfam.